CCUACGGGAGGCAGCAGUGAGGAAUAUUGGUCAAUGGGCGGAAGCCUGAACCAGCCAAGUCGCGUGAGGGAUGAAGGUUCUAUGGGUCGUAAACCUCUUUUAUAAGGGAAAAAAGUAUGGUACGUGUCCUAUUUUGUCUGUACCUUAUGAAUAAGGAUCGGCUAACUCCGUGCCAGCAGCCGCGGUAAUACGGAGGAUCCGAGCGUUAUCCGGAUUUAUUGGGUUUAAGGGGUGCGUGGGCGGUUUUUUAAGCAGGUGUUUAAGCUUUUGGGUUAAACAUUGAAUUGCCGUUGAAACUGUAAGGCUUGAGUUCGGACGAGGUAGGCGGAAUAAGUGAAGUAGCGGUGAAAUGCUUAGAUAUAACGUAGAACUCCGAUAGCGAAGGCAGCUUACCAGGCUAUGACUGACGCUGAUGCACGAAAGCGUGGGGAGCAAACAGGAUUAGAUACCCGAGUAGUC
Molecule: ribosomal RNA, 459 nt
Filed under: uncultured bacterium
Lineage: Bacteria
Description: partial 16S ribosomal RNA
Rfam family: Bacterial small subunit ribosomal RNA
Source: RNAcentral